AUCGAUUGAUAUAAUAAGACACUAUUAUAUACACACAUAUCAAUACAAACGAUAAAUACUACUACCAUGCACUAAAUACCGGAAAUAACUGAGUUAAUAGCUGCACCGAGUGUUUAAACUGAAGUCAUCGACGUAUGUGAUUCUUUUUUUCAAAUUGCGCCCCGUACAAAAACCGCGAGUCACUGUUGAACGAAAACCAUUCUGAUGUCAUAGUUUGUUACUCAUUUUCAAGUUUCAGCUUGAUCAGCUGACUGGAGUUGGACACGCUAGCACUGUGUGUGGCGAGGCUCCGUUUCCCUCCUCUUGUCGGUCAGAACAUUGGAGCGUUUCUUCAGAUAUAUCCGGAAUGUAGACUUACUAUAAGUAAGUGUGUACUCUUGCAGCGCCGCCUGUUGGAUUUCACCAGUCACAUUGCUGGACGAGAUCCGCUGGAUUUUAAAGGGCGUCAACUCUGACGUCACUUCUGGAUACCACAAUGGGGUCUAAAUAUGGACAAAACACUAUUUUGAUUGAACUUAAUCAAAUAAAAAGAUUAGUCCUUGCUUUUGUUAAUGAUACGGAUGUUUUAUAAAAUAUAAACAAAAUACCUUGAUAAUAAAACCCCAUCAUUUCUACAAUUAUAUUUAGGGAUUUUCAUAUAAACAUUUUAAGAUGGACUAUCAAAAAAUGCAAAAAUGAAA
This is a long non-coding RNA of Magallana angulata, 680 nucleotides long. RefSeq lists it as uncharacterized. The transcript is spliced from 3 exons. The record is from RefSeq and is a predicted model, not a curated record. NCBI's taxonomy places the organism in Eukaryota, Metazoa, Mollusca, Bivalvia, Ostreida, Ostreidae.